Molecule: long non-coding RNA, 239 nt
Organism: Gossypium raimondii (Peruvian cotton)
Lineage: Eukaryota; Viridiplantae; Streptophyta; Magnoliopsida; Malvales; Malvaceae
Exons: 2
Source: RefSeq, a predicted model, not a curated record
UUAGUUAGGAUUAAAUUGAAAUUAAAGUAAAAGUUAGAUAAAAAUUUUAGCAAUUAAAUUAUGUUGUGCUAAUGAUUGUGAAAUUAUUUUAAUUUUUCGUAGCUAAUAUCGAGCCUGAAGCAUCGGCCCAAAAAGGAAAAGAAAAGAUCGUCGAGGAUUAAAUUCGAAGAGAAUUCUGGUUGUAGAAGUCAAGUACUGAACUAGCAUCCAAAGCCAGACCCGACUUCAGCAAAUUUUUG